This 548-nucleotide ribosomal RNA is filed under the name uncultured bacterium. RNAcentral's name for it is "bacterial SSU rRNA". It matches the Rfam family "Bacterial small subunit ribosomal RNA", at positions 355 to 896 of the family's 1533-position model. The record is from RNAcentral.
UGGGGAAUUUUGGACAAUGGGCGCAAGCCUGAUCCAGCCAUGCCGCGUGCGGGAAGAAGGCCUUCGGGUUGUAAACCGCUUUUGUCAGGGAAGAAAUCUUCUGGGUUAAUACCUCGGGAGGAUGACGGUACCUGAAGAAUAAGCACCGGCUAACUACGUGCCAGCAGCCGCGGUAAUACGUAGGGUGCAAGCGUUAAUCGGAAUUACUGGGCGUAAAGCGUGCGCAGGCGGUUAUGUAAGACAGAUGUGAAAUCCCCGGGCUUAACCUGGGAACUGCAUUUGUGACUGCAUAGCUAGAGUACGGUAGAGGGGGAUGGAAUUCCGCGUGUAGCAGUGAAAUGCGUAGAUAUGCGGAGGAACACCGAUGGCGAAGGCAAUCCCCUGGACCUGUACUGACGCUCAUGCACGAAAGCGUGGGGAGCAAACAGGAUUAGAUACCCUGGUAGUCCACGCCCUAAACGAUGUCGACUGGUUGUUGGGUCUUCACUGACUCAGUAACGAAGCUAACGCGUGAAGUUGACCGCCUGGGGAGUACGGCCGCAAGGUUG